This 744-nucleotide ribosomal RNA is filed under the name uncultured bacterium. RNAcentral describes it as "bacterial SSU rRNA". It matches the Rfam family "Bacterial small subunit ribosomal RNA", at positions 28 to 766 of the family's 1533-position model. The record is from RNAcentral.
AUUGAACGCUGGCGGCAUGCCUUACACAUGCAAGUCGAACGGCAGCGCGGGGCAACCUGGCGGCGAGUGGCGAACGGGUGAGUAAUAUAUCGGAACGUACCCUGGAGUGGGGGAUAACGUAGCGAAAGUUACGCUAAUACCGCAUACGAUCUAAGGAUGAAAGUGGGGGAUGCGCAAGCACCUCAUGCUCCUGGAGCGGCCGAUAUCUGAUUAGCUAGUUGGUGGGGUAAAGGCCUACCAAGGCAUCGAUCAGUAGCUGGUCUGAGAGGACGACCAGCCACACUGGAACUGAGACACGGUCCAGACUCCUACGGGAGGCAGCAGUGGGGAAUUUUGGACAAUGGGCGAAAGCCUGAUCCAGCAAUGCCGCGUGAGUGAAGAAGGCCUCGGGUUGUAAAGCUCUUUUGUCAGGGAAAGAAAACGGUGAGGGCUAAUAUCCCUUGCUAAUGAUGGUACCUGAAGAAUAAGCACCGGCUAACUACGUGCCAGCAGCCGCGGUAAUACGUAGGGUGCAAGCGUUAAUCGGAAUUACUGGGCGUAAAGCGUGCGCAGGCGGUUUUGUAAGUCUGUCGUGAAAUCCCCGGGCGUCAACCUGGGAAUUGCGAUGGAGACUGCAAGGCUAGAAUCUGGCAGAGGGGGGAUAGAAUUCCACGUGUAGCAGUGAAAUGCGUAGAGAUGUGGAGGAACACCGAUGCGAAGGCAGCCCCUGGGUCAAGAUUGACGCUCAUGCACGAAAGCGUGGGG